GCAGACCACGUUAGAACCUCGGCUCCUGGAGUAGCAGAACCUCGGCUUCAAUGGGACCCUCAUUUCAUAAAUGAAGAAACUGAGAUUCAAAGAGGGGAACUACCGAAGGUUACAGAGCGAGUUCGUGGAUGGGGAAACUGAGCCUCACAUGUAUGAAUUCCAGCAUAUAAGCAACAGACUCCAGAUUUGGACAUGUAUAUCUUAUUCCAGGCUUCCCAGAUGACCACCAAGGUGGAAGGGAUGAUGAUGUCCAGGCAGAAGGGAGCUAGGCCGGCCCAGGCUUUUCCUCUAGGCACAGCGGACUCCAGGUUCAGCCUUCCCGGAUGGUAAUGUUGCAUUCUGAAGAGCUACUUUCCCGCCAACUCAUCUCUGGACUUCUCUGGGGCCCAACUCUGGUUUCCUGCCUGCAGGAGGUCCCCUCUGACUUCCGACAGUAGAUGACCCUUCUGACUCACAGUUCUACUGCUGGGAAAUGCCUCCAGAGCUGCUGCCCACCCUCUCUGCAUCCCUCCAGGUCACUGGGUGUUGAGUCAGGGGAAGCAGGGAUACACACGGGCGGGAAACUCAGGUCUCCUAAAUGUCAGAGCCUCAGGACUUCGGCUACUCAGAAGUAGCUCCCUCCUGGGCCACCAGGGAGCAGCAGGGCAGCCAGCAUCCAGACAUCCCCCCUGGGUUCUGCUGCUCAGAGGCUAGAUGGAGAACCAAGGUGGGAAAAAGGCUUAAACCACAGCGUGGGGAGAUUUAGGUUAGAUGGGUCAGAGGAAGUUUAGGACAAGCCUUGCCCUUUUCAGUUUCUGUCCAGCUUCAGCACAGCCACUGCUUCCUCUCUUUGGUUUUUACCCAUCCCCCUCUCUCCCAUCACCUCUAUCCCCUUCCAGCUUUCCUUUCCUUCCCUCCUUCCCAAACCCCAGAGUUUCUCAGGAUUAGCUGCCCGUGUGCCUAUCUCCCCCACCCCCAUGCUUUCCUCACUGUCUCACAGAAACAGGCAAACACACACACAUGCAUACAACCAUGAGCUGGCCCUGAGAGUUCUCUGACUGGACUGGGGUUGGAGCCCCAGCUCUUGUCCUGAGCUGAGGCCCUUCCCCCAGGUAUCUUGGGGCUUCCAUCAUUUCUCUUGACAGGAGCUGUGGGCGUCUGGGCAGAUGGGAACCUGGGGGAGGUGUGGGGAGCCCUCUCUGAGGCAGGAAGCUCCCACGCUACUGUAGUUAAAAUAAUCCGGCAGCAACUUGGGGCAGCCAUCUGGGAUGCCCAGAUCUUCCAGGACACCCAGCUCUCAACAACAACCCUAUAGGAACAAAUCAAAAACCUAAGAGAUACUUAUAGGCCCUGGAAAUGUCUCCCAAAAGUGGCCUGAACUUGAGCCCUGUUUCCUUUUAUCUUCUUCAGGUUAGCACUGGGCAUUGGCAUUUGCAAAAAAACUCUAAGCAUUAAGCAAAACUUGUAGGAGUGGAAGAUACAGCGUUCUGGACCUCCAGUCCUAAUACCCAGCCACACCCCAGCAGCUAUGCAUGGUUCCAUGGGAGAGCAGGCAUAGCCCAUCCUGCUGGCAUAUAGUCCAGCCAUAUCUUCCAAUGCCCACCUGGAGACUAAGCCGAGUUCUGCCCAGCAACAGGAGCUCAGAGCUCCAGAGAGCCUCUCCUGGGGUGCAGACUCAGGAGAUCUUAGCUCAGGAGCAGACUUAGCCUGACUUCCUCUUUUAUAGGAGGAGACAGACUUAGUUACAGAGGAAACCAGAGUUGUUAUAAAUAGCAAGGAAGGGAGAAACCUGCUAUGGAUUACAAACACGCCAUCAAUCUUAAAACAAACUAUUUUUAGUUUCAAAUAAUAACGAGAGUCUAAUUAAUGCUCUGUAUAACUUCAAAUGUGGGAUCUUUAUCUGCCUUUCUACUUUGUGAUGCUUUCUAAUACAGUAUUAGGGCCAAAGGCAGGAAGAGAUGUGGGCAAUUCUCAAUGUUACCAAAUCCUAGAUAUGGAAAGAACCUGAGAAAUUUAGUCCAGCCCUUUCAUUUUCAGUGAAGAAACUCAGGCCCAGAGAGGUAAAAGGACUUGUCCAAAGUUGCAUAGUAAGGUAGGGACUGAGCAGUGACUAAAAGCCUAGUCCCUGUACUCCAGAAGCAGGACAGUUUCCACAGCAGCACAAUAGAACCCAAAGGCUAAACAUCUGUGGUUGGGCAGUUGGUGAGUUUAUAGCCUGGAUAAAAGUCAGGUCUAAGCCAGGUGUGGAGGCUCACGCCUGUAAUCCCAGCACUUUGGGAGGCUAAGGCAGGUGAAUCACUUGAGGCCAGGAGUUUGAGACCAACCUGGCCAACAUGGCAAAACCUCAUCUCUACUAAAAAGUACAAAAAUUAGCCAGAUGUGACGGCACAUGCCUGUAAUCCCAGCUACUCAGGAGGCUGAGGCACGAGAAUCGGUUGAACCCGGGAGGUGGAGAUUUCAGUGAGCCGAGAUCGCACUACUGCACUUCAACCUGGGGGACAAAGCAAGACUCUGUCUC
This 2497-nucleotide long non-coding RNA is filed under the name Homo sapiens (human). RNAcentral describes it as "non-protein coding lnc-INAVA-1:3". Lineage: Eukaryota; Metazoa; Chordata; Mammalia; Primates; Hominidae. The record is from RNAcentral.